GUGCUCACUUUGGCAACACAUAUACUAAAACUGGAACAAUACAGAGAAGAUUAGCAUGGCCACUGUGCAAGGAUGACAUGCAAAUUCAUGGAGUGUUUCAUAUUUGA
This 107-nucleotide small nuclear RNA is filed under the name Dasypus novemcinctus (nine-banded armadillo). Lineage: Eukaryota; Metazoa; Chordata; Mammalia; Cingulata; Dasypodidae. The record is from RNAcentral.